UGACAAUCUUAAAUAUAGUCAAAGAGCUAAAGGAAAUUCUGCAGCAAGAACUAAAAGAAAUUGGGAAAAUCAUGUAUGAACGUCAUUUUAAAGAGACAGAACAUCAUUAUAAAGAGAUAGAAAUCAUAAGAAGGAGCCAAAUAGAAAUUCUGGAGCUGCAAAGUACAAUAACUGAAAUGAAAAAUUCACUAGAGGAGUUCAACAACAGAUUUGAACAGAGAAAAGAAAAAAUCAGUAAACUUGAAGACGGGACAAUUGAAAUUAUUCAUACUGAGGAGCAGAAAGAAAAAAGGACAAGUGAGCAGAGCCUAAGGUACUUGUGGGUACCAUCAACCUGAUCAACAUAUGCAUUUUGGAAGUCCUAGGAGGAGAAGAGAGAGAGAAAAGGGCAGAGAGAUUACUUAAGGAAAUAACAACCAAAAAGUUCCCAAAUAUGAUGACUGUACAUGUCCAAGAAGCUCAACAAACUCCAAGUAUGAUAAACUCAAAGAAAUCCACACUGAGACACAUUAUAAUCAAACUGUCAAAAGACGUAGACAGAGACUCUUGAAAGCAGUAGGAGAGAAGUGAAUUAUGUUAAGGGAUUGUCAAUAAGAUUAACAGCCAAUUUCUCAGGCAGAAGCAAUGGGAGGACAUAUUUAAAGUGCUGGAAAAAAGAAACCCUGGUCACUCAAGAAGUCUACAAAUGCUGCAAGAGUUCCAGCAAAACUAUCCUUCAAGAAUGAAAGAGAAAUUAAGAUAUUCCAGAUAAACAAAAGCUGAGGGAGUUUGUUCAUCAUAGACUUGCCCUACAAGAAAAGUUAAAGGGAGUCCUCAGGUCCAACUUGAAGCCAUACAAAGAAAUAAAGAUCUCUGAUAAAGAUAACUACACAGUGUAACUACGGCAACCGUGGCUGAUUUCAAGCUACCAACAUGAUGUCAUUGAAUAUGGAGUUGGGAAGAAUGCACACAAUUGGCUCUGCUCACGUGAAGCCUUCCUCCUGCUCACCUGCUCUCAUUCCAUGCCAGAGCAAGCCGAGCUGCCUUUUGCUGCGGGAAGCCACACACCUGCAGACCUGCCCCUGCAACCUGGCCUUUGCUUCUCCAAGUGUGGUCAGAAUCCCUGGGAAGCUUGUUUAAAUUCAAACUCCCUGGUCUCAUUUUCAGGGAUUUUGAUUCAUAGGAAUAGGUGGAGCAAGGAAUCUGUGUUUUAAUAAGCUCCCCUCUCCCCUAGAGAUGUUACUUUAAAGGUCAAGAACCAUUCAUUGGUCCAGGACCAUCUGGUAUAGGAGAGUGUGCGGGUAAAGCACUGAAAGCACGCCUUCACUCAUG
This 1311-nucleotide long non-coding RNA is filed under the name Equus caballus (horse). RNAcentral's name for it is "lncRNA (ENSECAG00000055393.1)". The record is from RNAcentral. Lineage: Eukaryota; Metazoa; Chordata; Mammalia; Perissodactyla; Equidae.